Molecule: transfer RNA, 92 nt
Rfam family: tRNA
About the family: Transfer RNA (tRNA) molecules are approximately 80 nucleotides in length.
GGUGAGAUGGCCGAGCGGUCUAAGGCGCCAGACUAAGGUUGUCACCUGUAAUCUGGUCCUCACGGGCGUGGGUUCGAAUCCCACUCUCAUCA